RNAcentral lists this ribosomal RNA (320 nucleotides) under uncultured bacterium. RNAcentral's name for it is "bacterial SSU rRNA". It matches the Rfam family "Bacterial small subunit ribosomal RNA", at positions 29 to 334 of the family's 1533-position model. The record is from RNAcentral.
AAUGGACGCUGGCGGCGUGCCUAACACAUGCAAGUCGAGCGCGAAAGUAACUUCGGUUACGAGUAGAGCGGCGAACGGGUGAGUAACACGUGGAUAACCUACCCUGGUGUGGGGGAUAACUCGAGGAAACUUGAGCUAAUACCGCAUACGACCUCAGGCUGCAGGGCCUGAGGGGAAAGACGGCCUCUUCUUGAAAGCCGACGCAUUAGGAGGGAUCCGCGGCCGAUUAGCUAGUUGGUGGGGUAAUGGCCCACCAAGGCGACGAUCGGUAGCUGGCCUGAGAGGGUGAUCAGCCACACUGGAACUGAGACACGGUCCAG